GUACGUUCACCCUGGCGACAGGGCGCAUGACUCGCUGUCACGGAACGGGGACAGCAU
This 57-nucleotide non-coding RNA is filed under the name Synechococcus phage 27A. RNAcentral's name for it is "Synechococcus phage Glutamine-II sequence". It matches the Rfam family "Glutamine-II riboswitch aptamer". Rfam says of the family: The major groove of the PK provides the binding site for L-glutamine RNAcentral also lists the same sequence under 1 other name. The record is from RNAcentral.